Molecule: RNA transcript, 1116 nt
Organism: Phyllostomus discolor (pale spear-nosed bat)
Lineage: Eukaryota; Metazoa; Chordata; Mammalia; Chiroptera; Phyllostomidae
Gene name: peptidyl-prolyl cis-trans isomerase FKBP2
Exons: 2
Source: RefSeq, a predicted model, not a curated record
GGGCAGGCUGGAUCAGGCCGGGACUCUGAGUGUCAGGGAGGGUUAGGUUAGGAGGAAAUUUGAGGUUGGGGUAGGAGCUGUCUGGGGAUGCCGCAGGGGGAGGGUUCUCACGCCGCACGGGGCGGAGCCCCGGCACUCGGGGCGGGACCUGAAUCAGAGACGGGUGGAACCUGUGAGCGGGUACCUGUGGAAGGCGGGACUCUGGGGCUGGGGGCGGAGCUAGGACUGGUGAGGGGCGGAGUCUGGACCUUAAAGGAGGAGCUGGAACAGGUGGAAGGCGGAGCCUCGGGCUUGGAAACUGAAGGGGACCCGGACCAAGCGCUGGGGGCGGGGCUUCAGUCGGUGAGUGGCUUAGUUACAGUUAAGGAAAAGGGAUCGGGUUCUGUCGAGGGUGGGGCUCCAGGGCCCGGGGCGGAAUUACGCCCUCUAAAGGGUGGGGCCAAGGAACCAAACUCAGGAGUAGGCCCAGGUAAUGGCCCAGGUAAUGGCCCAGGUAAUGGCCCAGGGCGUCCACGUGGGGGCGGUCUCCGUGGUGGCCGAGCCUGGGAGCGUGGUAGGCCGAGAACCCCCCCAGGAGAGGUGGUGUGGGUGGAGCGGGCUCGGCGGCCACCCGACACCGGACCGGUCUGGGUGCCCCGCAGACCCCCCAGGGCUCAGAGCUGGGGCGGCACCUCGGGCGGAGGCACAGGGUCGGCCUGGGGGGUAUCCCCAGAGGAUCGGGGCUCCCCGGAGCCACCCAGCGGCGAUGUGUGGGUGCCUCGGGGCCGGCCCCCUGCAGCGGCGGCAGAGGUGUGGGUGUGCUGGGCAGGGGGCAACUGGGUGUGGCGUGAGUGGUGUGGCCCGGUUCAGGCCACUGCUGUGCAGCCAGAGAGAGUCUGGACUUUUCGUAAAGGAAAGGGUGGGAAUUGAACGGAGCUGGGAACCAGGAGGGAAGGAAGGGCUGAGGGUGAACAAAGGGGCGGGGCCCUGGCUGCUGUGGCCUCCCCUGACCCCCUCCCCGCGCUGCUGGGGUCCUCGGGCAAGCCCCCUUCUCACUGGACAGGUAUUCCAUGCCCUUCCUGCCCUUCCGGUCGAUUGGUCGGUCGGGGUCUGUUCCCGCAGAGACAUGAGAGUCAG